This is a long non-coding RNA of Homo sapiens (human), 1344 nucleotides long. RefSeq annotates it as SYS1-DBNDD2 readthrough (NMD candidate). The transcript has 6 exons. Lineage: Eukaryota; Metazoa; Chordata; Mammalia; Primates; Hominidae. The record is from RefSeq and is marked validated.
CCGCUCCUGCCGCCGUGGUCGCUGGAGCUUUGCCUCUCUAGGCCGGCAGCGCCUCUCCUCCAUGGUCCUGUCUGUCAGCGCUGUUUUGGGAGCCCGCCGGUGAGGCCGGGCCACGCUCAGACACUUCGAUCGUCGAGUCUGUCACUGGGCAUGGCGGGUCAGUUCCGCAGCUACGUGUGGGACCCGCUGCUGAUCCUGUCGCAGAUCGUCCUCAUGCAGACCGUGUAUUACGGCUCGCUGGGCCUGUGGCUGGCGCUGGUGGACGGGCUAGUGCGAAGCAGCCCCUCGCUGGACCAGAUGUUCGACGCCGAGAUCCUGGGCUUUUCCACCCCUCCAGGCCGGCUCUCCAUGAUGUCCUUCAUCCUCAACGCCCUCACCUGGAGCUGACAUGGACCCAAAUCCUCGGGCCGCCCUGGAGCGCCAGCAGCUCCGCCUUCGGGAGCGGCAAAAAUUCUUCGAGGACAUUUUACAGCCAGAGACAGAGUUUGUCUUUCCUCUGUCCCAUCUGCAUCUCGAGUCGCAGAGACCCCCCAUAGGUAGUAUCUCAUCCAUGGAAGUGAAUGUGGACACACUGGAGCAAGUAGAACUUAUUGACCUUGGGGACCCGGAUGCAGCAGAUGUGUUCUUGCCUUGCGAAGAUCCUCCACCAACCCCCCAGUCGUCUGGGAUGGACAACCAUUUGGAGGAGCUGAGCCUGCCGGUGCCUACAUCAGACAGGACCACAUCUAGGACCUCCUCCUCCUCCUCCUCCGACUCCUCCACCAACCUGCAUAGCCCAAAUCCAAGUGAUGAUGGAGCAGAUACGCCCUUGGCACAGUCGGAUGAAGAGGAGGAAAGGGGUGAUGGAGGGGCAGAGCCUGGAGCCUGCAGCUAGCAGUGGGCCCCUGCCUACAGACUGACCACGCUGGCUAUUCUCCACAUGAGACCACAGGCCCAGCCAGAGCCUGUCGGGAGAAGACCAGACUCUUUACUUGCAGUAGGCACCAGAGGUGGGAAGGAUGGUGGGAUUGUGUACCUUUCUAAGAAUUAACCCUCUCCUGCUUUACUGCUAAUUUUUUCCUGCUGCAACCCUCCCACCAGUUUUUGGCUUACUCCUGAGAUAUGAUUUGCAAAUGAGGAGAGAGAAGAUGAGGUUGGACAAGAUGCCACUGCUUUUCUUAGCACUCUUCCCUCCCCUAAACCAUCCCGUAGUCUUCUAAUACAGUCUCUCAGACAAGUGUCUCUAGAUGGAUGUGAACUCCUUAACUCAUCAAGUAAGGUGGUACUCAAGCCAUGCUGCCUCCUUACAUCCUUUUUGGAACAGAGCACGGUAUAAAUAAUAAACUAAUAAUAAUAUGCCAACCA